GUGAGGUAUCUGGAAUGAUCCAAAGGCAAAUUGGAAUUUUCCAAGAGAGAAUGAAGAUGUAUUUGUGAAGAGAAAGACAGUUGGAAGGAAAUGUUAUUUUAGUAUAUAUUCUGGCCAUACAUGACUUAACAAGUAUGAAUUUCAAGAGGACAAUAAAAGAGAAAUUAUAGUAAUCAAGAUAGGAAAUGAUUAAAGAAUGGGAGAAAAUUUUAGCUGAGAGGGAAUGUGAAGAUUAAAUACAAAUUCUAACAGCCUGGUUGACAAGUUGAUGAGCACAUUUACAGAUGAGAAAUGAAGAAGGAACAAAAGAAUGACUUCAACAGUUUUGU
This 329-nucleotide long non-coding RNA is filed under the name Homo sapiens (human). RNAcentral describes it as "HSALNT0127347". Lineage: Eukaryota; Metazoa; Chordata; Mammalia; Primates; Hominidae. The record is from RNAcentral.